RNAcentral lists this ribosomal RNA (496 nucleotides) under uncultured bacterium. RNAcentral's name for it is "partial 16S ribosomal RNA". It matches the Rfam family "Bacterial small subunit ribosomal RNA", at positions 28 to 506 of the family's 1533-position model. The record is from RNAcentral.
GAUGAACGCUGGCGGCGUGCCUAAUACAUGCAAGUCGAGCGAACAGACGAGGAGCUUGCUCCUCUGACGUUAGCGGCGGACGGGUGAGUAACACGUGGAUAACCUACCUAUAAGACUGGGAUAACUUCGGGAAACCGGAGCUAAUACCGGAUAAUAUAUUGAACCGCAUGGUUCAAUAGUGAAAGACGGUUUUGCUGUCACUUAUAGAUGGAUCCGCGCCGCAUUAGCUAGUUGGUAAGGUAACGGCUUACCAAGGCAACGAUGCGUAGCCGACCUGAGAGGGUGAUCGGCCACACUGGAACUGGGACACGGUCCAAACUCCUACGGGAGGCAGCAGUGGGGAAUCUUCCGCAAUGGGCGAAAGCCUGACGGAGCAACGCCGCGUGAGUGAUGAAGGUCUUCGGAUCGUAAAACUCUGUUAUUAGGGAAGAACAAAUGUGUAAGUAACUAUGCACGUCUUGACGGUACCUAAUCAGAAAGCCACGGCUAACUACGU